This 468-nucleotide ribosomal RNA is filed under the name uncultured bacterium. RNAcentral describes it as "partial 16S ribosomal RNA". It matches the Rfam family "Bacterial small subunit ribosomal RNA", at positions 28 to 507 of the family's 1533-position model. The record is from RNAcentral.
GACGAACGCUGGCGGCGUGCUUAACACAUGCAAGUCGAACGGAAAGGCCCUGCUUUUGUGGGGUGCUCGAGUGGCGAACGGGUGAGUAACACGUGAGUAACCUGCCCUUGUCUUUGGGAUAACUUCAGGAAACUGGGGCUAAUACCGGAUAGGAGCUCCUGCUGCAUGGUGGGGGUUGGAAAGUUUCGGCGGUUGGGGAUGGACUCGCGGCUUAUCAGCUUGUUGGUGGGGUAGUGGCUUACCAAGGCUUUGACUGGUAGCCGGCCUGAGAGGGUGACCGGCCACAUUGGGACUGAGAUACGGCCCAGACUCCUACGGGAGGCAGCAGUGGGGAAUAUUGCACAAUGGGCGGAAGCCUGAUGCAGCAACGCCGCGUGCGGGAUGACGGCCUUCGGGUUGUAAACCGCUUUCGCCUGUGACGAAGCGUGAGUGACGGUAAUGGGUAAAGAAGCACCGGCUAACUACGUG